RNAcentral lists this ribosomal RNA (253 nucleotides) under uncultured bacterium. RNAcentral describes it as "partial 16S ribosomal RNA". It matches the Rfam family "Bacterial small subunit ribosomal RNA", at positions 524 to 776 of the family's 1533-position model. The record is from RNAcentral.
UACGAAGGGGGCAAGCGUUGUUCGGAAUUACUGGGCGUAAAGGGCGCGUAGGCGGCUUAUCAAGUCAGGCGUGAAAUUCCCGGGCUCAACCUGGGGGCUGCGCUUGAUACUGAUGAGCUUGAAUGCGGGAGAGGAUAGUGGAAUUCCCAGUGUAGAGGUGAAAUUCGUAGAUAUUGGGAAGAACACCGGUGGCGAAGGCGGCGACCUGGUCCGUGACUGACGCUGAGGCGCGAAAGCGUGGGGAGCAAACAGG